Molecule: ribosomal RNA, 798 nt
Filed under: Salmonella enterica subsp. enterica serovar Oranienburg
Lineage: Bacteria; Pseudomonadati; Pseudomonadota; Gammaproteobacteria; Enterobacterales; Enterobacteriaceae
Description: partial 23S ribosomal RNA
Rfam family: Bacterial large subunit ribosomal RNA
Source: RNAcentral
GUUGCAGGGUAUAGACCCGAAACCCGGUGAUCUAGCCAUGGGCAGGUUGAAGGUUGGGUAACACUAACUGGAGGACCGAACCGACUAAUGUUGAAAAAUUAGCGGAUGACCUGUGGCUGGGGGUGAAAGGCCAAUCAAACCGGGAGAUAGCUGGUUCUCCCCGAAAGCUAUUUAGGUAGCGCCUCGUGAAUUCAUCUCCGGGGGUAGAGCACUGUUUCGGCUAGGGGGCCAUCCCGGCUUACCAACCCGAUGCAAACUGCGAAUACCGGAGAAUGUUAUCACGGGAGACACACGGCGGGUGCUAACGUCCGUCGUGAAGAGGGAAACAACCCAGACCGCCAGCUAAGGUCCCAAAGUCAUGGUUAAGUGGGAAACGAUGUGGGAAGGCCCAGACAGCCAGGAUGUUGGCUUAGAAGCAGCCAUCAUUUAAAGAAAGCGUAAUAGCUCACUGGUCGAGUCGGCCUGCGCGGAAGAUGUAACGGGGCUAAACCAUGCACCGAAGCUGCGGCAGCGACACUCAGGUGUUGUUGGGUAGGGGAGCGUUCUGUAAGCCUGUGAAGGUGGCCUGUGAGGGUUGCUGGAGGUAUCAGAAGUGCGAAUGCUGACAUAAGUAACGAUAAAGCGGGUGAAAAGCCCGCUCGCCGGAAGACCAAGGGUUCCUGUCCAACGUUAAUCGGGGCAGGGUGAGUCGACCCCUAAGGCGAGGCCGAAAGGCGUAGUCGAUGGGAAACGGGUUAAUAUUCCCGUACUUGGUGUUACUGCGAAGGGGGGACGGAGAAGGCUAUGUUGGCCGGGCGA